Molecule: long non-coding RNA, 668 nt
Organism: Nematostella vectensis (starlet sea anemone)
Lineage: Eukaryota; Metazoa; Cnidaria; Anthozoa; Actiniaria; Edwardsiidae
Exons: 2
Source: RefSeq, a predicted model, not a curated record
GUCUUACUUCCACGCCUCCCCACCCUGAUGGGUAUGCGGCCGCCGAGAAUCCGAGAAACGAAGCUACAAAAAGAGUACAAGAUAGAAGGGGAGAAAACCGGGGAACCCGGUGACAAACCUGCUCGGAGAAAAAGCAAGAACCAAUAAAAUCGCUUCAGAACAGGACGCCGAAACCUGGAACUUAAGCUGUGAGGUGUACGAGUAUAAUACGACAGUACGAGCAACCUUCUGCAGUACCACACAGGCACCCCUCCCCGAGGAAGUGAUGAAGAAGAUCUUCAUAGAAAAACAAGUUCUCGGGUAAAAAGUCGUGUGUGAAAGUCGGCACUUUAACAUAAAAGUCUUAUGUAUGCAACGCUUAAUGAUUGUAAAAGUGGUGGUGCAAUGUUAAAUGUUACCAAGGAAAGGCGCCUUAAUGAAAGUCUUAUGUAGGCAACGAAUUGAUGCUCAAUACGAUUGUAAAAGUCGUGUUGCAAUGUUAAAAGUUACCAAGGAAAGGCGCUUUAACAUUGAGCAUCAAUUGGUUGUGUAGGCAACGAAUUGAUGCUCAAUACUAUUGUUUCGUGUCCGAAUGUUGAAAGCAUUUCGCAUUCCGUCUUUUAAGUUUCUUUUUUUAUUUAUUUUGGAUUUGAGGUAUCCAACAAUUGAACUUCGUUAUGGUCUUCAAU